UAUUGGACAAUGGGCGCAAACCUGAUCCAGCAAUACCGCGUGUGUGAAGAAGGCCUUAGGGUUGUAAAGCACUUUCAAUUGGGAGGAAAACCUGCCGGUCAAUACCCGGUAGCUUGACAUUACCUUUAGAAGAAGCACCGGCUAACUCCGUGCCAGCAGCCGCGGUAAUACGGAGGGUGCGAGCGUUAAUCGGAAUUACUGGGCGUAAAGCGUGCGUAGGCGGUUCGUUAAGUCAGAUGUGUAAGCCCUGGGCUCAACCUGGGAACUGCAUUUGAAACUGGCGGACUAGAGUUUAGUAGAGGGGAGUGGAAUUUCAGGUGUAGCGGUGAAAUGCGUAGAUAUUUGAAGGAACACCAGUGGCGAAGGCGACUCCCUGGACUAGAACUGACGCUGAGUACGAAA
Molecule: ribosomal RNA, 402 nt
Filed under: uncultured bacterium
Lineage: Bacteria
Description: bacterial SSU rRNA
Rfam family: Bacterial small subunit ribosomal RNA
Source: RNAcentral